RNAcentral lists this ribosomal RNA (451 nucleotides) under uncultured bacterium. Its description in RNAcentral is "partial 16S ribosomal RNA". It matches the Rfam family "Bacterial small subunit ribosomal RNA", at positions 29 to 523 of the family's 1533-position model. The record is from RNAcentral.
AGCGAACGCUGGCGGCAGGCUUAACACAUGCAAGUCGAGCGCCUGUAGCAAUACAGGAGCGGCAGACGGGAGAGUAACACGUGGGAAUAUGCCCUUCGGUUCGGAAUAACUCAGGGAAACUUGAGCUAAUACCGGAUACGCCCUUACGGGGAAAGAUUUAUUGCCGAAGGAUUAGCCCGCGUCCGAUUAGCUAGUUGGUGAGGUAACGGCUCACCAAGGCGACGAUCGGUAGCUGGUCUGAGAGGAUGAUCAGCCUCAUUGGGACUGAGACACGGCCCAAACUCCUACGGGAGGCAGCAGUGGGGAAUAUUGGACAAUGGGCGCAAGCCUGAUCCAGCCAUGCCGCGUGGGUGAUGAAGGCCCUAGGGCUGUAAAGCCCUUUCGGCGGGGAAGAUAAUGACGGUACCCGCAGAAGAAGCCCCGGCUAACUUCGUGCCAGCCGCCGCAGUAA